RNAcentral lists this long non-coding RNA (42729 nucleotides) under Gossypium barbadense (sea-island cotton). RNAcentral's name for it is "long non-coding RNA (GBAR_LNC020333)". The record is from RNAcentral. Lineage: Eukaryota; Viridiplantae; Streptophyta; Magnoliopsida; Malvales; Malvaceae.
AGGUGCCAACACUUUGACCAGUUGGUUUAGAAUAGAGAAGGGGGGUGCUCUUGGUUACAAAUUGAAGUACUGCCCCGCAGUAUGUGGAACAUGCCCCGCCUUAUGCAACGAAAUUGAGAGGGGCUUUGAUGGAGAAAUGGUACGUUUGGCUCUCUCCACUGGCAAUGGAUGGCCAUUUAUCUUUAAGAAAGUUGGAAAAUCAGCCACGGAGAUUCAACAAGUUGUUCAUAAUUAGAUUGAAAGCAAUCAUUAUGCAUGAACUAGUAGUUACUACUUAAUAUUAGCUUCAAGUAAAUAAUGCUGAGAGAACUUAUUGUUAAGAUUGCCUUGUUUGAAGCGGCAGCAUGUAUAUAUAUAUGCUUGCUCACAAGGUUUGUCUCUCAGAGUCCUCCUCUUUGUAUUCUUUUCAGCUUAAUGAAUAAACUAUUUACUUAUUUACUUCUUUUGUUGCCAUUGAUUCUAGUAGCAUUCGACUCAUUAACUUGGAUACAUUACCUUGUAAUUAACCAAAAACUUAUGUGUGUAUAUAUAUAUAUCAAAACAAAAAAAAAGAGUGAGAGAGGAAAAUAGACUACCAAGUACCAAGUGAAAAAUGGUGAUACUAAAUUUCCAGAUAUAUGGCGUUGUUUGUGUGUGACAAACACCAAGUAUAAAUAGGUGGAAGUAUGACUACUUAUCAAGAGUGGUAUGGCUCAAAAACUACCCUCAUCGAAUUAUUUCAUCCUACUCAUUCAUUAUCAAUAGGAAGAAGGAUACUUCCAACAAGAAAUAUUUUGAAGGGUUAGUGUUGAGUUAGCUAAAAAUCAAAGUUUAUCAGAAGCUCGAUCUAAAAUUCGCCAAAAGGAAGAUUAUUCAAAGCAAUUUCAAUGCACAACGGGAAUGGAAUAGUCUUUGAGUGGUUAGGGCACCUUAUCUUUUGAGAUAAAGAAGGGUUGGUCCAUGUUGGAGUUCGUGACUAAUCCUUACAACAAUGUCGUUUUCAAAGUUUGAACCUAUGUCAUCCUUUGAACAUGUAAUUUGUCUUACCAUUACACCUAACAUUGUUGGUGAUUUACUUUAUUAUAUUUUUAAUUAAUAAUUAUGAUAUAUAGUAUAUUUAAGAUGGAUUUUCUUAUUCAUGUAUAUCAAUUGAAUAAAAUAUUUGUAUUUAAAAUUUUAACUCGACAUAUCAAAGGUCUGCUACUCUAGCACGUCUCUGAUCUGCUGCUCUAGCAUGUUUUGGUUUUUUUAGGGUUUUUUUUUGCUUAUUUCUCUUUGUUCUGGCAAUGACAGUUCUUGGGAUAGAGUAUUUCUUCUCAAUCUUUUGAUUUUGAUUCGUGGCAAUGGAGGAUGAAUUGGCAGAGUUAACAUUGAAAGAUGAGGAAUAGGAGAUUUGGCUAGUACAGAAGGAAACUGAUUUUGCGACAGUGGUUUAAGAUCUUUGUCCGGUUGGAUGCUUUCUCACAACAAGUGUAAUCCACUUACGACAAUGAGAAGCGCGACUGUGAAUCUAUGGUAUCCUCUUAGAGGAGUUUAGAUCUCUAAUUUGGGGGAUAAGAGGUUAUUAUUUCAAUUUUUUCAUAAAAUGGAUAUUGAUAGGGUACUAAAUGGGGAUCCAUGGACUUUCAAUAAUCAUCUUUUGGUGUUUCAUUUUUUGGAGGAUGGUGAGGAUCCAAUGAAGGUACUGCUAAUCUAUACGACUUUUAGGGUACAAGUGCAUGAUUUACCCCCAGGGUUUUUUACUGAAUCUAUAGCAAAGAAGUUAGGUAAUUUUAAGGGUAAGGUUUUUAGAUCAAUGGCAAAAGCUUGGGUAAGGGCCUCAAGAAUUUCUUACAUAUACGGGUUUAGAUGGAUGUUAGACGCUCUUUAAAGCAAAAAAAGAAGAUUAUGUUUUCACUUGGGAAGUGUUCCUAUGUCAACUUGAUAUACGAAUGACUAACUCUGUUCUAUUUCUUCUAUGGUUGUUUGGGACACAAUGACUCUUUCUGUUAGGUUAGAAUGACUAAAGGAUUAGAAGUUUUAGAGAUGGGAUGGUAUCUAUCUCUAAAAGCCCAGUCUAGGAGAGUUGCUACGAUAAACAGUGUGUGGCUGCGGGAGGAAGGUGAAGGGGAGAUAAGGGGAAAUACCCUAAGGCAUUUUGAUUUGGGGUAGGGACUGUGGGAGGAUGGAAGGAAAGAAUCUAGGAUGCCCAUAGAUCCUGUGUUGGGGUUAAAUUUGGAGGGUGAUUUGAAUAUAGUGUCGGGUAUGCAAGGGGACUCUUCAAACAUAAAGGAUCAUUUGAAUAUGGAUCACGACUCGGAGAGGUGGAGAUGGGAAAAAAAGACCCAAAAAGGAUAAUGAAAAUCAUAGUGUUUCGAUUGUGACAGAUUCACUUGUGAUUAGAGAUGAGAGAUCGCUGGGACGAACUCACUUUUUAUCGGCGGUUGCCAGGGGCAAGAUGAUCGGUCGCAAUGAAAAUAAUUAGUUGGAACGUCUGUUGAUUGGGGUGUCCACGAGCUAUAAGAAGGCUUCGACAUAUGCUGAAGGUGUAUAAUCCCCAAGUGGUCUUCUUUAUGGAGACAAAAAUUAGUAAUGUGCAAAUGGAGAAUGUGCAUAGAAGGUGUGGAUUUUUAAAUGGUAUUGAUGUUUCUGCCGAUGGUUUAAGAGGAGGUCAUUUUUUAGCUUGGAAGAAAAAUGUUAAAACGAAUUUAAGGAGUCAUUCUAGUAGUCAUGUAUAUGUUGUAUUUUAGGAGACUGAUAAUGGAGGUUUACUGGCUUCUAUUGGACAUCGAAUACGCGUAGCAGAGACAAUUCAUGGAAUUUGUUAAGAAAUCUAGGACGCUCUCAGGAGUUCCCUUGGCUAGUGUGUGAUAAUUUUAAUGAAAUUAUGUACUCUUUUGAAAAGUUAGGGUGCCAAGAGAGGAGAGGAGAAUGGAGGUCUUUCGAGGAGUCUUAGAGGAAUGUUAGUUAAUGGACAUUGGAUACUUUAGGGCUUGGUUUACCUGGGAAAGGGGAAACUUACCGAAAACGAAUAUGAGAGAGCGACUAGAUAGAGGAGUGGUGAAUGUCGAAUGGAUGAACAUGUUUUCUAGUGCAGUGGUUUAGCAUUUACCACAUUCUUUUCCAGAUCAUUGUCCCCUUCUUAAUUAUACGGAGCAGGAGAGUAUUAGGUUGAGGCAGAAAAGGUUUCAGUCUGAGGCAUGGUGGGUAAUGUAAGAAUCUUUUAAGGAGGAGGUUAAACAAACAUGUCAAUCUACUUCGGGUGAUAUGUUGGCUAGGCUAGAAGGUGUGAGGAAGGGCUUGCUGAGAUGGGUGGGUUUUGUUAGAAAUAAAAGAGAGGGCCUUAAGAAGGAACUGACUAGAAAAUUAGAGGAGAUGAUGGGAAAGGAUAGAGAUGAUGAGAAUAUUGUUGAACUAUCUUAAGAUUCUCUUGUCAUAACUUGAAGUUGGUGUCAUUUAAUAUAAGAAUACAAUUAAUGCCUGCAAUAAUGUUGGCAGGUAUAAUCAUUGUUGUAUCAAACAAAACAAUCUCACGUAUGACUUCAAAUAUAAAACAAAAUAAUAAUUAAUUCAAAUAAAGGUAAACCCUAAGAUACCAAUCACUCCAUUAAUAUUUCAUUUUUGGACAAAUAUAUUAAGUUGUAAAUGAUAUCUUGGUGUAGUAAUUAAACAUCGACAAUAAGCGUCACAUGUUUAUUACAACAGUUGCAAAUGUAAUUUUGUUAAAUAUAAGCCUCCAUUUAGACCAGUCAAUAUUAACAUAACUUAAGUUACUUGCACACAACUCCAAAAUUAUAAAAGUCCAAUUGUUAAACCGAUUUGGUUCCUUUAACAUAGGAAAGCCGAAUUGCAUAAACAAUCAAUGUAUCCCCUAUUUUAUUCAUGUUUAUCACAAUGUUUGGAGUGCUCACUCUUUUAGGGUGUGCUUACCAUUUAGGUUAAAAAGCAUCAUUCAACCCAAACAAUUUUUUAAAACCAAACAUUAAUUUUAAACUAGCAUUUUAGGCCAACCCAAAACUUCUAGCUUUUACCUUUCGGAAAGGUGCUUUUCAAUUAAAAACCUUUUUAUUCCUCAUUAAAUCUUCUUAUUUAUAACAUAAUGUCUAAAAUAGAAAUUUUAUUUUUCUAAAAACACUUAUAGACAACAAUAAUGUUAAGUAUAACUCCUAUUUUUAGUCAAAUUUGAAAAAUAAUCUUUUAGUUAAACUCUGUUUAUUUAUUUCAGUCAAACACUGAUUAGUUUAGAUUAUUUUUUUAUUAUUUGACAUAUGAAUUUAGCCUAUAAAUAGGCUCUUUUACAACCUUAGAAAUAACACCCAUUAGAGAUUAGAACUCAUAACACAUUUAGAGAAUUUUGUGUUUACGUUUUGAGAGUUCUUUGUUUUCGGGUUUUCGGGGUUUAGUUUUAUCUCUAUCUUUUAUACUCUUCGUUCUUUUGCCAUUAUAAUAAAAUUAUCUUUGCCCGUGAUUUUUUAUCCUCUUUGGAGGAGUUUUUCCAUGUUAAAUUUGUGUGUUCAAUUUCUCAAUUUAUUCUGCUAUUUUUGUUACUUGUUGCUUAAUCGGGCCGAUCCCUAACAAGUGGUAUCAGAGCUAGUUCAAAGAUUAGCCAUUUAGAUAUGGCAACAACAAGGUUUGAAAUUGAGAAGUUCGAUGGUGAGACAAAUUUCAAUCUGUGGCAAGUUCGGAUGAUGGCAAUUCUAGUUCAAUCCGGUUUGAAAAAGGUUGUUACCGGGAAAAAACCUGAGAAUCUAAAUAAAACAGAAUGGGAAGAGCUUGAUGAAAAGGCAUUGUCUGCAAUCUAGUUGUGCCUCGCGAAUACUGUAUUGCAGGAGGUAUUGAUGGAGAAGACCUCAUCCGCCUUGUGGAAAAGGUUAGAAACUUUUUAUGCGACUAAGUCUCUAGCUAACCGUUUAGUGUUGAAACAACAUCUAUUUACGUUUCGCAUGAACGAAGGUAAGCUUCUUAGAGAUCACACAGUCAAUUUAUUACUCUUUUAAAUGAUUUAAAGAACGUUGAGGUUCAUAUUGAUGAUGAAGAUCAAGCUAUGCUAUUAUUAUGCUCUUUACCCCCUUCAUACAAGUCUUUUAGGGAGACCCUGAUUUAUGGCAAAGACAAAAUCUCGUUCGAAGAUGUGAAGGGUCAUUUGUUGAGUAGAGACAAACUCGACAAUGAGCUUCAUUUGGAUACCAAGGCAGAUAGGCAAGUUUCCAUUUUAGUAGCAUCAAAGAAACGAGACAAAAGGUGUCGCUAUUGUAAAAAGUUAGGUCACGUCAAAGCAGAUUGUUAUAAACUGCGAAAUAAAAGAGCUGCUGAGAGUAACGAGGAAGAUGUAGCUGGUGCUAAUUUGGCCGAUGAAAGUGGUGAUGAUUUCUUGUUAGUGUCAACAUGCGAUAACUCCAAACUCACGUCCAAGUGGAUCCUAGAUUCGGGAUGUUCUUUCCACAUGUAUCCCAAUAAAAAAUGGUUCUCUACAUACAGUUCGGUUGAAGGUGGAUUUGUGUGCAUGGGAAACGAUUCAUCUAGUAAGGUAGUUGGUAUUGGAACUGUUAAAAUCAGGACACAUGAAGGGACAAUUAGGACACUCUCAGAUGUCAGGUAUGUACCUGAUUUACGAAAGAAUCUCAUCUCCUUGCUUAUUUUAGACUUGAAAGGAUGCAAAAUCAACAUCGAUUCGAGCGGUAUUAAAGUAUCUCGUGGAGCUUUCGUUUUGUUAAAAGGUAAAAGAACUGAUAGUCUUUAUAUUCUGGAAGGUUCUACAGUGACUGGUGAAAUCGGACAUCCUUCAUCCGUUAUAAAGUCGAAGUCAACUCGUUUGGAGCGGAGGCAACUUGGUCAUAAGAGGGAAAAUGUAUGACUGUUUCGUUGAAGAGAGGUUCUCUUUUGGAUGCAGGUUUUGAAAAGUUAAGGCACUAUGUUCGUGAAAAUCAGACCCGAUUAGUUUUGAUUUGGCAGUGUACAAGUCAAAGGCUAGAAGUCUUCUAGUUUCUAAGUACAGAUUCGACUUAGUUAAUUCCCUGCAUAGUUCAAGAUAGGCUCGUGGCGGGCUUUGGCAAAGAUGGCGUUGUGGAAAUGUGAGUCAAGGUGGAGAUUUGUUAAGUGUGACUCCUAUUUUAAGUCAAAUUUGAAAAAUAAUCUUUUAGUUAAACUCUGUUUAUUUAUUUCAGUCAAACACUGAUUAGUUUAGAUUAUUUUUUUUAUUAUUUGACAUAUGAAUUUAGCCUAUAAAUAGACUCUUUUACAACCUUAGAAAUAACACCCAUUAGAGAUUAGAACUCAUAACACAAUUAGAGAAUUUUGUGUUUACGUUUUGAGAGUUCUUUGUUUUCGGGUUUUUAGGGUUUAGUUUUAUCUGCAUAUUUUGUACUCUUCGUUCUUUUGCCGUUAUAAUAAAAUUAUAUUUGUCCGUGAUUUUUUAUCCUCUUUAGAGGAGUUUUUUCACGUUAAAUUUGUGUGUUUAAUUUCUCAAUUUAUUCCACUAUUUUUAUUAUUUGUUGCUUAAUCACUCUUUUUUAACAGAGAGCUUAUCUCUUAGCAAUAGUUUGGGCAAACAAAAAUAAUGUAUAUAUGAAAACGAAUAUUGAAUUUGAAUGUACAAUCAAUUUUUUGAACAAUUAAUUAAAAAGAAUGUUUGAAUUCAAAAAUUUUAAAAAUUUUGAUAAAAAAUGUGGAAGCGCAGACUUGUGUGAUGAAUAGUAAUGAUAAUAAUGAUAGAAGUUGUUUUCCUGGCACAAGCAACUUAUGGGAUUCGUCCAUUUGGUUCUAUAUUUCUCCGCUGCCUUGAGUGUUUAAGAGUUAAACGAUAAAUUAUUAAGUAGAAAACACCAAACGAAUUGAAUUAUUUUCUUAAGAUGGUGUCGGUAAUGUAUCUGUAGAUACCCAUUUGAAUUUUUAGAAAACUGAAAAAAUAAUUUAUUUUUUCGAUUGAAUCAGCAGCAAGAAAAUAAGAAAAAAGACAACUUUGAGUUUGAGUUUGCAGCUCUGAGAUUUCGUUCGGUGAUUUGAACGGUGAGGUGAUAUGUUUAAAUGCGGGAAAUAAUAUAUAUCGGACUAGCAACAAUAUGAUGGAGUGAAAUAGAGAUUGAAGAAAGAGUAAUUUGAAGCUUUGGUCAUUAUAUUAAAGGAUUUCGAGCCGAUUUUUAGGAAAUCUAAAUCGUAGAAGUGAACAAAUAUUCUUCUUUUGUGCCACAAUCGACACAAAAGGCUAUUGUGAAUGGCAACAUUGACAAUUAUUGAGUACGGUGGCUAAAAUUUUUAAUUAAAAAAAGGAAAUAAAUAAAAUAAAGGAAAUGAAAACAAAAAGAAAAAUGUGAAAAGAAAGAAAGAAAUAAUAAUAAUAAUAAUAAUAACAACGUGAACUAUCUUAAGGUUCUCUUGUCAUAACUUGAAAUUGGUGUCAUUUAAUAUAAGAAUACAAUUAAUACAUGCAGUAAUGUCAAGGUAGAAUUGUAGUUGUAUCAAACAAAAUAAUCUCACUAAAAUAAUAAUUAAUUCGAAUAAAGGUAAACCCUAAGUUACUAAUCACUCCAUUUAUAUUUCAUCUUUGGAUAAAUAUAUUAAUUUGUAAAUGACAUCUUUGUGUAGUAAUUAAAUACUGACAAUAAGUAUCGCAUGUUUAUUACAACAGUUGCAAAUGAAAUUUUGUUAAAUAUUAGCCUCCAUUUAGGCCCAUCAAUAUUAACAUAACUUAAGUUAUAUGCAUAAAACCCCAAAAGUAUAAAAAUUUUAUUGUUAUUUAAAUAUAUUUUUAAAUUUUUAAAUACUUUUUGUUUAAAUUUUAUAAUUUUUUAAAUAGUGAACCCGUCGGAUCAAAGAUCAUAUUGAUUAAAUUCAAUCAAAUCAAGAAUUGAUUAUUUCACCAAUUCACUGGCCCAAUUUACAAGAUUAUGUAUUAUGUAUUAUUAUUAUUAUUAUUAUUAUUAUUACGUGUCACUCAUCAUUUGAUUAUGAGAAGAUAAGAAAGAUGAAAACAAAGUGGACCUAAUAAUUAACCUCACAUGUGAAAUGUGUUAUUGAUGCAUCGUUGAGAGCACCAAAAAUAUCCUAUCCCUAUAAAAUAACGAAAAGAAUAGUAAAAGAGAAUUAGGGCCAAAUCUUCAGACUGGAUUUGCACAACUUCUUGUUCCUCGAGAUCCCGGGCAUAGUCGUGCCCAAGAAAAAUGGCGUACCUGAAAAAAAUAAAAAAAAUAGAAUUAAAAAUAUGGACGAAUUGAGAUUGUGUAACUUGAAAUUGAAAUUGUAAAAAUAAACAGAGUCGUCAAAACAGAUUCUUGGAUUGAGAGAUUCUAGCCUCUAGUUAUCUCGAUCCUCAUUGGUUCAAUCCUAGGCUUUUAGGUGAUCCUUCUCGAACAGAAUAAGCUAGUUAUAGUAGAAGAGGACACCUACGACUACCAACUCUACUUAGAUUUUAGACUUACGAUUUAGAGGAACCUAACUCAAGCCAACCGUCACUUUUGUUGGACCGUCUUAAACUAGAUCAUCAUUUCUCAAUGGCAAAUACCAUGUCAUUUUGUCUAUUGGGCUUAACAACCACUGACACAGUAAGCUAACGAACCGACUGUGUCACCUUCCCAAAACAUACAAAACGGUCGCCUUUGCACAAGAUGAAAAGACUUUUGGAAGGACAUAGACAAAAGCGUUAGUCCCGUAAUGCGGAGAAACGAUGAAUUAAGCAUCAGUCCCGUAAUGCGGAGAAACGAUGAAUACUCGUUGAGAAAGCUAAGUGCAGAUUUUAUGCCUCAUGAACCUUUUUUGAGGAAUCAUGACAACCUUUAGCUAGAUGAGUUUAGUGGCUCAUGCUUUUCGGGAAAAAAAAAAAGAAAUAAGUUUACUAAAAUGGAAUUUUAUUGAAUAAAUAAAAAGGAACAAAAAGCUAAGAGCUUUAGAGAGAGGGAGUUUUUACAGAAAAGAUUAGUGCAAUUUGUGUCACGCCGUCCCCUAUUUAUAUUACUUAGAAAACCUAGUUUUUUCCUAUUUAAAUUCUAAAAGAUAAAUAAAGAUAAAAGCUGAAAUUAAAUCUAAAUAAUAAUCUUAACAAUAAUCCUAAUAGAAUUCAAUUUAAAUAGAGUCUUGUGUUUAUAAAAUCUCUUAUUUGAAUUGUUGCCCCCAAGUCUUCCACACUUUGUAUUUUUGGCACCAUUUCUUUCCUAUUUUGCAUUUUGACCCAUUUUGUUUCAAAUUCACACUUUUUGCCCCCAAAUUUCCUUUUGGCUUCAAUUUAAUCCCUACCAGAUAAAAACCCAUAAAUAGCUCAAAUUAGUAGGAUUAUAUUCAAAAUAAGUAUGUAAUUAAUACAUAAAAAUAUGUUAUUCCAGAGUAUUAUCAAAUUCCCCCUACUUAGCCCAUGCUUGUCCUUAAGAAUAGUUCCUAUCUACUGUGAAAUUUAGAUUUUACCAUGAAAGAAAUAUUACUCCAAAGUUUUAUAAAAAUUAGGCAUAAUGCAUAUGAAAAAUAAAGAGAACCUUUAGCUUGCUUUAAGUAAAACUGGAAAAGUAUUCCAAUUUAAACAUGCAAAAAUCAAAACCGACUUGGAUCAUUUCAUGAAAAUUAGGUAAUUUACUAAACUUACCAAGACACCCUAUUUGUUUCCACCCUUAGUCCCCAAAUGCAAUUCAUUAUUAUUACUUAUUUUUCUUUUUUUUAAUAAAAUGUUGAACCUUUUGACGCAAAGACAGAUGACAACCAAGCAGCCCACCCUGGUUAUUCAGCCCAACACAUUCCUAAAAAUUUUUUGUUUAAUUCCGAUUAGCAGAGUUUGUAAUACCCCGAAAAUUACUACAGUAAUAAAUUAAGAUAAUAUUCUUGACAUAGUAAAAUAAGGAAAUAAAGUGAUAAAAGGGUAAUUUUGAGUUAUGUCAACAUUGGGAAGUAUGUUAUGACAUAUUAAUUCAAGAAAGGAUUAAAUUGUAAAAGUGAGAAAAAUUUUAUUACCCAAGAGUAAAUACUCAAAAUUUGAGGGGUUAAAAUGUAAAUAUGAAAAAUUUGAAAGACCAAUAGUGUAAAUAUUUUAAGGGUGGAAUAAUCUAGAAACUAAGAAAAAUGGAUGAAUUGGGACCAAAUUGAAUAGGUGAAGAAUUAUGAGGGACUAAAUCAUAAUUUUACCAAAUUAAGUGAUGACUCAAGGAUGGAAUUUUAAAAGAUCUAAAAGGCAAAAUGGUCAAUUACAAGAAAGAAAAAUCUAGAAAAUAAUGAUGAUGUUGGAGAUAUUUUAGAUUAAAUAAAUAAAUAAAUAUUAGUUUAUUAAUAUUUUAAUUUAAUUUUUAAAUGAGAUUUUAUUAUUUUAUUAUUAUUUUAUUAUUAUUUUAUUUAAUAUAUAUAUGGAAGGAAAGAUGAAGAAUUUUCAUCUUCUUCCUAUGCAACUAAUGUAUGAAGAGAAAAGAAAGGAAGAAACUUUCAUUUCUUUACAAUUUGACCCUUUCACCAAAUACUCACCAUUUUCACUUAGAAAUCAAAAGAAUUUCCAUGUCCAUCAAGAGAGAAAGAUAACAAGGAGACUAUGGGGAGUUAUAAAAUCAAGUUAGGUUCAAGAAAUAGAAGCUGGAGGAGAGAAAAAAUCAAGUUAAAGGUUGCAACUAAUAGGACAAGGUAAGAACAUCAAGAUUAAUUCAAUAUAUUUUUAAGUUUGUUAUCAUUGAAAAAGCAUGGAAAUGAUGUUAUAGUAGAGUUUUCUUAAAUAAAGUCUUAUGUUCUUGAUAUAUUAGUGAAGGGAAAUAAGAGAAAGUGAUGGAAAAUAUUAUAGAGAAAAUGAAUAAGGAAGUUAUAAACUUAGUAAUCAAUAUCAUGCAUUAAAACAGUUUUGGACAGCAGCAGUAGUCUAACUUUGAAAAAUCACCAAAAAUUGUGGGAAUCGAAUUAGAGGAUGUAAAAUAUGAAUUUAAAUAUUAUUGAGUCUAGUUUAUCAUAGAAGAAAUGGUGUAAGCAAUGGAAGUAUAAAUCAUGAGAUAUAAUAGGUUUUGUGAGACAAGGUCAGAAUGAUUUCGGGUUCCGCUGUUCUAACUUUGGAAAAUCAUAAAAAAUUGGAUAAAACUAAUUAGGGGUUUAAAUUUAUAUGUUUAAAAUCCUUAAUUAGUAUAUUUUCAAGAUAAAUAAACUAGGACAUCAUUAAAAUUCUGUACAAUGAGAUAAUUAAUUUUUAGUGAAGAGAGUUUGGAACAGUCAAACAGUGAAAUAGGGGAAAAUUUAAAGAAUAAACUGUACUUAUUGGUUGAACCAAAAGUUCUGAAAUUUUUAUGGUAAGAAUAUAUGUGAGUCUAGUUUCAAGUAAAAUUAACGGAUCUUAAUUUGGAGCUCUGUAGCUCAAGAUAUAAAUAAUUUUGUGACUAUGACUCAAGUGGACAGCUUUGAAUGAACAAAUAAAUAAAUAGUGAAAUUAUAGAUAAUGUUACAUAUAAGCAUGUUAUAUACAUUAAGAAUGUGGAAUGGAGAGGUGGAGGAGGAAAAAUAUAUGAUUAUUCAACUAGCAUGAGUUUUCAUUAAAAAUGGCCAAUUUGCAUGUUUUAGGUUCAAGGAUUAAAUUGAAUAAAAGUAAUAUUUUAAGGGUAAAUUGGUAAAAAUGUCAAAAAGUGACCAAAUUUCAUGAAUGAAUUGUUUUAUUAUUUAAAUUAGUAAAUUUAAUGAAAUAUUAAUUUACAUCAAGAUUGGGUGGAAAUUUGAGAAAAAUAGAAAAUUUUUAAAAUGUCCCUGAAUUUUGGUUUUUCUACAAUUUAGCCUGGUAAGUUUGUGUGAACUGUAUUCUGUAUAAUUUUAAUUGAAGUGAAUUCUAUUUGGUAAUGAAUAUUAUAUAUGUGUGUGUUUUAUUAUUGGAAUGGAAUUAUUAUUGGUAAUAUGUAUAUUUGAUGCAUUGAAAUGAUUAUCGGACGCUCAAUUGAGUUGGAAGCUUGUUGGAGAUAUAUCAUAUUAUCCAUUGGUUCUAUCGAUAAUUUUGGAUGAUUUGAUUCGGUUAUAAUGGCAUGUAGAAGUUAAAUUGGUUAACGUUAGCUCAUUAAUGUUUUAAUUUUGAUUGGUUAUAAAUACGAAUGUUUGAUGAAAUGAAAUGUUUGUAAAUUAAUUUGUAAACUCCAAUAAUGCUCUAUAACCCUAUUCUGGAGAUGGAUACGGGUUAGGGGUGUUACAGAGUUUUACCUAACACGUUACACAACCUUUUGACGCGAAAUAGGAUGACAACCCAAGCACCCUACCCUGAUUACUCAGUCAGUCACGUUUUAAGCUACACUCAUAACCAUGGAGGCAUAAAAAAAUUUUAUUGUAAUGAAAUAAAAUUUUAAUUUUGGAGGACUAGGAAAAACAAUCAAGUGUCAAAAAUAAGUUUUGGCAACUCCCUAACAGUCAUGAACAUAAAUUUAGCAUACAAUUGUAUUAGGUGUCCUCUUUGCAUUUAGACUUAAUCAAUUAAAAGUAAGAUAGGGCUAACUCCAUUAAUCAUAAUUAUUUUAGCCUAAUAGAAAUAAAACGUCAGAGUCGAAGUCAAAAUCGUCGAACACAACUGCUAGUUGGGCCGAAAGAGCUUGUGGCCAUCGACUAGUCCGGUGUCGAGAGGGGUCGAAAGCCGAAGAUGGUGGUGGCGAUGGUAGGUGUGAAGCAAGCGAUGGGGGAAACGGUGGAGGAAAAGAAAGGGCUAACGGUGGUGGUGAAGUCGAGUGGGAAGGUGCGGUGUCACGUGGAGGAGAGGGGGACUGGGAGGGUGCAGCUUCGGCUAAGUUGACGUGUUGGGGUUUCAAAAAUCAAUGUCAGUGGCUGUUGACGGAAAAAGAAGGUUUGACAAUGGCACGACUUCUAGUCCUAACCAUGGUGGUGGGAAAAAAUCGAUGGUGGGGGUAAGGGAGAAAGCUAACGGCGGCUGGAGGGGUGCUUGGGUGAAAAUAGGGAAAAAUUUAGGGUUUGAAGGUGUAGAAUGAAAGGUGUUUGGUUGUAAAAUGGGUGUUUGGACGUAGGUUUUGGGUAAGUUUAAAGUAAGGUGUUUGGUUGUAGUUGCUUUAUGCAGCAUCUAGGGUUUUUGAGGCAUAACAAAUGACAUGGGGCUCUCUGUCUAUCUUUUGUCCCAACACGGCCCCCACAUUGUUCUCGCUUACAUCGCACAUAAUUUAAAAUGGGUAGUUCUAAUGUGAUGCUUGUACUAUAGGAGCGGAAACCAACUUCUAUUUGAACGUGUCAAAAGCCUUCUUACAUUUUGGGCUGAACUCAAAUUUCUUAUCUUUCUGCAAUAAUUCGUAUAGUGGUUCAACUACCUUUGAGAAGUUCUUUAUAAAGCGCCUGUAAAAUCUUACAUGGCCAAUGAAAAAACAUAUUUCCCUUACAGUUGAGAGAUAUGGCAAAGAAUUUAUAAUGUCAGUUUUGGUCUUAUCAACCUCAAUCCCUUUAGCUGAAACUAUAUGUCCUAGAAUUAAACAUUUAUCUACCAUAAAAUGACACUUUUCAUAAUUCAAGACAAGAUUAAAUUCUAUGCAUCUACUUAAAAUUAUCGUGAGGUUUUUAAGGCAUUCAUCAAAACAGUUCCCAUAUACAAUAAAAUCAUCCAUAAAAACUUCGAUGAUGUUUUCUACAUACUCAGAAAAUAUACUCAUCAUACAUCUUUGGAAGGUGGCUAGUGCGUUGCAAAGUCCGAAUGGUAUCCUUCUAUACACAAAUGUGUCGAAUGGGCAUGUAAAAGUGGUUUUUUCUUGGUGGAAGAAACCUGAGUAUCCAUUAAGACAGUAAAAGUAAGUUUUACUAGCUAAAUGCUCAAGCAUUUGAUCUAUAAAAGGAAGAGGGAAAUGGUCUUUUCUAGUAUAAGAAUUCAACUUCCUAUAAUCAAUGCAGACAUGCCACCCAUUUUGCACUUGGGUUGGUACCAGGUCGCCCUCAUCAUUUUUCUUUACUGUCAUGCCUGUUUUCUUAGGCAUGACCUGCACCGGACUUACCCAUCUACUGUCAAUAAUGGGGUAUAUUACGUCAGCAUCUAGAAGCUUAAUUAUUUCAUUUUUACCACAUCCAUCAUAUUCGGGUUCAACCAUCUUUGCACCUUCGCUUUGGUUUCAUGUUUUCCUCCAAGUAGAUCUUCUGUGUGCAUGUCAAAAGGCUUAUCCCUUUUAAGUCAGCAAUGGUCGAGCCAAUCAUCUCUUUAUGGUUUUUUAGUACCUAUAUCAAACUUUCCUCUUCAAGCUUAGAGAGUCUAUAAAAUAACCUAUCCCUAUAAAAUAACGAAAUGAAUAGUACAAGGGAAGUAGGGUCAAAUCCUUAAGGGCUAGAUUUACACAACUUCUUGUUCCUCGAGAUCUCGGGCACAGUCAUACCCAAGAAAAACGGCAUACCUGAAAAAAUAAAAAAAAUAGAAUUAAAAAUAUGGACGAAUUGAGAUUAUAUAAAUUGAAAUUGAAAUUGUAAAAAUAAAUAGAAUUGAAAAAAGGGAUUCUUCGAUUUAAGAGAUUUUAGCCUCCGGUUGUCCCGAUCCUCCUUGGGUUCAAUCCUAGGCUUUUAGGUGAUCCUUCUCAUAACAGAAUAAGUCAGAUAUAGUGGAAGAGGACGCCUACAACCACCAGUUCUACUUAGAUUUUAGACUUGUGUUUAAAUAGAGUCUUGUGUUUAUAAAAUCUCUUCUUUGAACUUUUGCCCCCAAGUCUUCCACACUUUUUAUUUUUGACACCACUUAUUUCCUAUUUCGCAUGUUGGCCCAUUUUGCUUCAAAUUCACGCUUUUUGGCCCCAAAUUUCCUUUUGCCUUCAAUUUAAUCCCUACGAGAUAAAAAACCAUAAACAACUCAAAUUAGUAGGAUCAUACUCAAAAUAAAUAUGUAAUUAAUACAUAAAAAUAUGUUAUUCCAGCAUUUUCAGUUAUAUAUAAGGGUUAAAUCAUAAUUUAGUCCCUAAAGUUGUACCAAAUAAUUUGUUUAGUACUUAAAGAUUGUAUUGCAUCAAUUUGGUACCUGAAGUUCGAAAAUGUUUAUACCCAUUACUCCAAAGCCUAAUUCCAUUAAAAAAAACUAUUUUUUCGAAAUAAAUUCAAAAAUAAAAAUAGAGAAAUAACAAAAAAGUCUCAAUUUAAAAAAAAUUGAAAAAACUUAAAAUUUAUAAAGAAAGUCAGAAAAUAUGAAAAUAUAAUUUUUAAAAAAUACAUAAAAUAAAAAUUAGCGAAAAUUCAAAAAGAAAAACAAAAUUAAAAAUUUAGAAAAACACUGAAAUAAUAUAGAAAUAUAAAUGCCUACAGUACCUAUUAUUAACGUUGAAUUUUCUAACUUUUUCCUAAAAAAUUGCUUUUAGAUUUUAUUUUUUAAAAAUACAUUUUUUUAAUAAUUUGAGUCUCAUGGCUAUAAAGUUCUUUUAACUUAGCAAUAUGUCAUAUUUUAUGUUUCUAAAAAUAUUGUAGUCUCCAAAGGUGUAGUCUCGACCAAAAAAACAAACAAGAAUUUGAUUUUUUUUUCCACUAAGUCUUCAGAAUUUGUGAUUACCGUUUUUAAUAGUAAUGUUGUCACUAAAAUUCUAUUCUGUAUCUACCUUAUUUUACUAUUGCACUUCAUACUUAUUGAUGAUUUAAUUUUAUUAUUAAUAAUUAAUUAUGAUAUAUAUUAUAUUUAAGAUGGAUUUUCUUAUUCAUGGAUAUCAAUUAAAUAAAAUAUUUGCAUUUAAAAUUAAAACUAUGACAUUAAUUUUUUUUUAAUUUAAAUCAAUUUGGCUCUUUUAACAUAGGGAAGUCGAAUUGCAUAAACAAUCAAUGUAUUACCUAUUUUAUUCAUGUUUACCACCGUGCUUAAAGAAAUGCUCACUUUUUUAGGGUGUGCUUACCAUUGAGAUUGGAAAACAUCAUUCAACCCAAACAAUGAUUUCAAACCAAACAUUAAUUUUAAACUAGGAUUUUAAGCCAAUCCAAAACUUUUACCUUUUACCUUUUGAAAAAGUACUUUUCAAUUAAAAAUCUUUUUAUUCCUCAUUAAAUCUUCUAUUUUAUAACAUUACGUCUAAAAUAAAUAUUUUAUUUUUCUAAAAUUAUUUAUAGACAACAAUAAUAAACACUAUUAAUUUUUCUAAAAGCACUUUUUCACUGUAAUAUUAAACUUAAAUGAUAAACUUGCCUUUUAACCACUCUUUUCUAACAUAUAGCAUAUCUCUUAGCAACGAUUUGGGACAACAAAAUUAAUGUAUAUAUGAAAACGAAUAUUGAAUUUGGAUGUCCAAUCAAUUUUUUGAAUAAUUAAUUAAAAAUAAUUUUUUAAUUCAAAAAAUCUAAAAGAAUUUGAUAAAAAAAAUGUGGAAGGGCACACUUGUAUGAUGAAUAGUAAAGAUAAUAAUGAUAGAAGUUGUUUUCCUGGCACAAGGAACUUAUGGGAUUCGUCCAUUUGGUUCUAUAUUUCUCCACUUGCUUGAGUGUUUAAGAGUUAAAGGACAAACUAUUAUGUAUAAACACCAAACGAAUUGGAAGGCUUUUGUCUUCUUCAAAUUUUACAUUCAAUAUCAUCAUCACAAUCAUGGUAAUUUACUUUCAUGAAUAAACUUUUAUGUCCCAUUUUAACCUGAAUUAUUAAAAAUUAUUAAGUCAAUUAUAUUUUUAAGAUGGUGUCGUUGUCCAGCGACAUUGAUUUAAAUUUUUUAAAAAAUUAUUUUAAAAAAUGAAAAAAAUUUACUUUUUUGAUUGAUUCAGCAGCAAGAAAAAAAAAAGAAAACUUUUCGGAUUCAAAACUCUAAAAAUCUGUUCAUGAUCUGAACGGUGAGGUGAUGUAUUUAACUGUGAAGAAUAAUUUAUAUUCGACUAGUGACAAUCUGAUAGAGUAAAACAGAGAUUAAAGAAAAAGUAGUUUGAAAUCUUGAUCAUUGUUUUAAAGGAUUUGAAGUAGAAUUCUACAAAAUUUAAAUUGUAGAAGUGAAUGAGGAGAAAAAGCCCCUGUGAAUGGCAACAUAGAUGGUUAUUUAGUAUGGUCGUUAAAAUUUUCAUUUAAAGAAAAAGGAAAUAAAUAAAAUAAAAUGAUAGGAAAACAAAAAUAAAAACGUGAAAAGAAAUAAAGAAAGAAUAAUAAUAAUAAUAAUAAUAAUAAUAAUAAUAAUAAUAAUAAUAAGAGAAUUUUGGGGGCGAUGCCUUUGUACAAAUCUGCAACUACACGUGAAGUGGAAUAAAAAGUUGAGCAUGUCGCUCAGCCUUGCGCUUUCGAGGCGCUCCAUUCAUCACGAAUGGGGCCAGAUUUCUCAAUGAGUGAAAGUGGUACUAAUAAUUUACCUCACAUUUGAAAUGUGUUAUAAAUAUAUAUGUGGAUGAAAUUUUUGCUACCAUGCUAAAAUUGAAGAUUUUAAUUUUGGUGGAUUUUAAGUUUUUAUAUAUUUUAAAAUUUAAAAUUUUAAUCUUAAUUUAAAUGAUAAUCGUUAAAUUUGUUGGGUCAAAUUUUGUUAUUAGUCAAUUACUAUGCAUAAUUAUGAACUUAAUUCAUGUAUUUCAAUUUGAUCACUUUCAGUCAUUAUAUUUUUCAGUUUUGGAAUUCUGGUACUACUUAAAUGGUAACUAUUAAAUCCAUUUACUAUAAUGAUAUAAGAUUUUUGUGAGUAUUAUGUAAAAUAGCUACUUAUCACAUUUUUAAUGUAUAUAUUUAUUAUAUUGUAUAUACCAUUUCAACUAAAUUCAUUUAAUUUUUAUAAAUUUAUUAUAUAAAUUUAAGUACAAAUAUGUGUCAUUCUCUAAUAACAAUAAUAAUAAUAAGUGGAUGACAUAAGAUGUGUCAAAACAUUUAUCUUCAAUUCUGAUGCAGAAAGGCAGGCGGUCAUUUUUAGUAAAAAUACAUAAAUAUAUCACUAAAUUAUUAGUAGCAUUCUGUUUUCCUUACUAAAUGAUAAUACUCUACUAAAAUAAACUUAACUAUUGUAAUAAAAUAUUUUUAUAUAAUAAAAAAAGAAAUUAUAGAAAAGACUUAUUGGAUAUAUUUCCAAUUUUCGACAUUCAUAAAAUAAAAAAUAAAAAUUAUUUAUACAAAAUCAAAAAAUGGUCCUAUUAAUUUACCUCACAUUUGAAAUGUGUUAUAUGUAAUAAUAUUAAUAUCUUUAUCAAUUUUGGACUUUCACCUUUCCCAUCUCUAUAAAUUUGCAUGCAGAACUAAAGCAACACAUAUCAACACAAUCGGUAUAACCAUGAAAACCACAACAGCUUCGGUGUUUCUUCUUUUCAUCAUCUUCUCGAUCACACCAUCGUCCUUUUCGUUUGGUGUGGCCAACACUACAAACGCUCCUGUGCUCGACAGUGAUGGCAACGAGCUCCGCACUGGCACCCCAUACUUCGUUGUGUCGUCGAUAUGGGGUGCUGGUGGUGGGGGGCUUGACCCAGGCAGGCCUAGAGGAAAGCCAUGCCCGGAAGUCGUUGCUCAAAGAGGAUCUGGUGACAAUGGUAUUCCGGUGAUAUUUUCUAAUUCGGACUCCAAAGAUGGCGUUGUUCGCCUAUCCUCUGACAUAAACAUAGCGUUCGUUCCCCUCAGACCCAAAUUUUGCGAAACAACAACGGUGUGGAAGGUCGCUGAUUACGACCACUCAGCCGGAAAAUGGUGGGUGAUAACCGAUGGGGUUAAAGGGAACCCAGGUGCCAACACUUUGACCAGUUGGUUUAGAAUAGAGAAGACGACUACUGAUUUUGAUUACACAUUUAAGUACUGCCCCGCAGUAUGUGGAACAUGCCCAGCCUUAUGCAACAAAAUUGUGAGAGACUUUGAUGGAGAAAUGGUACGUUUGGCUCUCACCACUGGCCAUGGAUGGCCAUUUAUCUUUAAGAAAGUUGGAAAAUCAGCCAUGGAGAUUGAACAAGUUGUUCAUAAUUAGAUUGAAAGCAAUCAUUAUGCAUGAACUAGUAGUUACUACAUAAUAUUAGCUUCAAGUAAAUAAUGCUGAGGGAACUUAUUGUUAAGAUUGCCUUGUUUGAAGCGGCAGCAUGUAUAUAUAUAUGCUUGCUUACAAGGUUUGUCUCUCAGAGUCCUCCUCUUUGUACUCUUUUCAGCUUAAUGAAUAAACUGUUUACUUAUUUACUUCUUUUGUUGCCAUUGAUUCUAGUAGCAUUCGACUCAUUAACUUGGAUACAUUACCUUGUAAUUAACCAAAAAGUUAUGUGUAUAUAUAUAAAGAGUGUGUGAGAGAAAAAAUAAAAUACCAAGUACCAAGUGAAAAAUGUUAAUACUAGGAUUAUUCAAAGCGAUUUCAAUGAACAGAAAUGGAAUAGUCGUCGGGUGGUUAGGACAUUUUAUCUUUAGAGAUAAAGAAGGUUGGUUCAUGUUCGGAGUUUGUGGCCACUCCUUCAAUAAUAUCGUUUUUAAAGUUUAAACUUGUAUCACAUUUUAAACACGUAAUGUAUCUUACCAUUACAUCCAACAAUAUUAACCAUUUACUCUAUUGUAUUGUAUUGUAUUCUAUUAUUAAUUAAUGAUUAUGAUAUGUAUUAAGUUUAAGAUGAAUUUUCUCAGUAAUGUAUAUCAAUGAAAUCAAAUAUUUGUAUUUAAAGUUUUAACUCCACAUUAACUUUUUUUUUAUUUUGUCCGUUUGCUGGCGAUGAUUAGGAGAUUAAUGGUUGGUAUUUGUGGUUAGUAGCUUAUAACUCGAGGGUUGAUAGUGGCCCGACUCCACUUAAAUAAAAAAUUUUACAUUUAAAUUUCUUUAUAAUUUAUAAAAUUUUAAAUUAAUAAUAAAAAAUUAUAUUUUAACUCUCUAAAAUUAAUAAAAAUGAUAAAAAUGUAGAAGUAAAUUUAUACAAUUAAUGAUAAUAAUGAUAAGAAGUUGUUUCCUAUCACAUGGAAAUUUAUGGCAUCGUCCAUUUGGUUUUAUAUUUGUCCAUUUGCUUGGUUAAGAGUUGAAAGACAAACUAUAAUUAAAUAUACAAAACCAAACGAAUUUCAAGGGUUUUCUCUUCAAUUAUUGUCGAAUUUAGCUAAUUAUUAGUAAUUUUUAUUAUUUAAUUAUAAAAAUUAUAAAAUAGUGACUUAAUUAUAAAUAUAUAUAUAUAUAUAAAAUAGCCAUCUAAUUAUUUAAUUUUUUUCUUUUUUAUCAUCACAGGAUUAAUGGUGGUAAUUUUUAUAAUUGACAUAAUAGUAACUUUAACCAUUAAUAAUUAUACAUUAUGUCAAUUUAGUCUUGAUUCUAAAAAAUUUAACCUUUGACAUUUACACAUAUAUAAUUUGAUAUUUUUAUAAUUUUAUUUUUUACUAAAAAUAAAUCAUGAAAAUAAUAAAAUAUGCAUAAAAAUAAAAAUACAGCUACCGAGUAUAUGUCUUAUUGUAGAUUUAUAACAAUUAUCUUUUCAUAAAGAUAUUUUAUUAUAAAAUAUAUAAUAAGCACUUCCCUGUAACAAAUAAAAUUGUAGUAAACAAAUGAAAUUAUUAUAAAGAAGAAUUUUCUAUUUUCAUAAUAAUAAUAAUAAUAAUAAAAGAAAAGAAAAAAGUGGUUCUAUUAAUUCACCUCACAUUUGAAAUAUGUUAUAUGUAAUAAUAUUAAUGUCUUUAUCAAUUUUGGUGGUUCAUCCUUUCCCAUCUCUAUAAAUUUGCAUGCAGAACUAAAGCAACACAUAUCAACACAAUCUGUAUAACCAUGAAAACCACAACAGCUUCGGUGUUUCUUCUUUUCAUCAUCUUCUCAAUCACACCAUUGUCCUUUUCGUUUGGUGUGGCCAACACUACAAACGCUCCUGUGCUCGACAGUGAUGGCAACGAGCUCCGCACAGGCACCCCAUACUUCGUUGUGUCGUCGAUAUGGGGUGCUGGUGGUGGGGGGCUUGCCCUAGGCAUGCCUAGAGGAAAGCCAUGCCCGGAAGUCGUUGCUCAAAGAGGAUCCGGUGACGAUGGUAUUCCGGUGAUAUUUUCUAAUUCGGACUCCAACGAUGGCGUUGUUCGCCUAUCCUCUGACAUAAACAUAGAGUUCAUUCCCCUCAGACCCAGAUUUUGCCAAACAACAACGGUGUGGAAGGUCGAUGAUUACGACCACUCAGCCGGAAAAUGGUGGGUGAUAACCGAUGGGGUUAAAGGGAACCCAGGUGCCAACACUUUGACCAGUUGGUUUAGAAUAGAGAAGGCGGGUGAUCUUGAUUACCCAUUUAAGUACUGCCCCGCUGUAUGUGGAACAUGCCCAGCCUUAUGCAACAAAAUUACGAGAGACUCAGAUGGAGAAAUGAUACGUUUGGCUCUCUCCGCUGGCCAUGGAUGGCCAUUUUUCUUUAAGAAAUUUCAAACAUCAGCCAUGGAGAUUGAACAAGUUGUUCAUAAUUAGAUUGAAAGCAAUCAUUAUGCAUGAACUAGUAGUUACUAUACAAUAUUAGCUUCAAGUAAAUAAUGCUGGGAGAACUGAUUGUUAAGAUUGCCUUGUUUGAAGCAGCAGCAUGUAUAUAUAUAUGCUUGCUUACAAGGUUUGUCUCUCAGAGUCCUUCUCUUUGUACUCUUUUCAGCUUAAUAUAUAAACUGUCUACUUAUUUACUUCUUUUAUUGCCAUUGAUUCUAGUAGUAUUAGACUCAUUAACUUGGAUACAUUGUCUUGUAAGAGAUAGCUUAUCUCUUAACAACUGUUUGGGUCAACAAAAUUAAUGUAUAUAUGAAAACGAAUAUUGAAUUUGGAUGUCCAAUCAAUUUUUUUAAUUAAUUAAUUAAAAAGAAUUGUUUUAAUUCAAAAAAUCUAAAAGAAUUUGAUAAAAAAUGUGGAAGGGCACACUUGUAUGAUGAAUAGUAGUGAUAAUAAUGAUAGAAGUCGUUUUCCUAGCACAAGUAUGGGAUUCGUCCAUUUGGUUUUAUAUUUAUCCACUUGCCUGAGUGUUUAAGAGUUAAAAAGGACAAAACUAUUAAGUAGAAAACACCAAACGAAUUGGAAGGCUUUUGUCUUCUUCAAUUAGUAUGACCUAUAUUUCUUAUUAAACUUCGUAUUUUACAUUCAAUAUCAUCAUCGCAAUCAUUUUAAUUUAUUUUCAUGAAUAAACUUUUAUGUCCCAUUUUAAUUGAAUCAUUAAAAAUUAUUAAUUGAAUUUUUUUUAAGUCAAGUGAUACUAAUUUGAUUUUUUUAAAAAAGUUGUUUGAAUUAAUUUGAUUUCGUGUCAUAAUUGACAUAAAUGGCCAUUGUGAAUGGCAACAUCAAUAGUUAUUGAGUACAGCGGCUAAAAUUUUCAGUUAAAAAAAAAAGAAUGAAAGGAAAACAAAAAGAAAAACGUGGAAAGAAAGAAAGAAAGAAAGAAUAAUAAUAAUAAUAAUAAUAAUAAAUAAAAUAGAAUUGUGGGGGCGAUGCUUUUGAACAAAUCUUGAUUUAAACUAUAUAAAGAAAAUAUGUGUUAUAUAUAUAAUUAAUUAUGUACUUAUACUUAAUAUAUUAUAUAUCUAAUGUCAUAUUUUCAUAUUCUCAGGAAGUGGUGACAUACAAAUACUUGAUUCGAUUUAUUUCUUUAGCUCCCCGUGAAUUGUAUGUUUGUAACAUUAGGGAUAGAAUUUCUUCAAUUAUCCAAUUGACUGGACGUAUUGUGUCGAUUUUUUUUUAGUAAUAUACCUAGAAAUACCCGUUGAUUCUUUAUAAACGCUGUUUCGAACACAACUGGUACACUCUAAAAUAAUUUACUUGAACAUCAUUACUCUUAGCCAUGAACCUCCUUUGAGUUUUUAAUUCACCCAACUUUUUUAUUUUCCGAUCAAAAGCAAAGAAGAAAGGAAUGAAAAGAAAAGAAAGAAAUCAAAGUUGCUAACUCAAAACCAAAUCCUGAAAAUUUUCAUUUCAAUGAAUAUAGUAAGUAAAUAUAGAUUUAUAGUAAUAGCAAAUAAUAAGAAUUAAGUAAUAUAACGAUUUUUAAUUCUAUUUAGAAUCAAUUAAAAUAUUCAAAUAAAUAUUCAAUUAAAAUAAAUUAAACUGUAUAAAUUUUAUAAUUUUAAAUUAUUAUUUUUGUAUUAAUUUAAAAACAAAAUAAAUAUUAUAUACAAUGAUUUAGUUACAGCGUGUCAGCUUGAAGUCUAAGACUUUAUAACAUAUAAAUUUAAUAGAUAAUUAAUAACUAAAAAAUUAAAUAGCAAAAGCAUAAUUGCGCCACUUCUCACCAUUUUAAUGUAUGCAACUUAUUAUAUAUUUAUAUAUAUUAUCAUUUUAUUUUAAAUAAUUUAAUUUUAUAAAUUUAGGGAUAAAUCUCAAAAUUAUACAUGAACUUUAAUUUAAUAUGCAAUUGUAUAUAUAAACUUUAAUUUGGUACAAUUAUACACGUGAUACUUUAAUUGUGGUUUAAAUACUCACUUGAAACUUUAGUUUUGAUUUAAUAAUGCAUAUUUAAAUAAAUAAAUACAUCAAUUUUUUUAUAUUGGGUAAAUAUAAUUAUUUAUGUAUGCAAUAUAUAACAUAAAAUGAUGUUAUAUCAAUAAUUGUGUUAAUAAUUUUCAAGAAUUGGAUCAAAUCAAAAUUUCAUGUAUAAAAUUGAACAAAAUCAAAGUUAAUGUAUACAAUUGCACAUUAAACCAUAAUUCAUGUAUAUUUUUUUGUAUAUAUCCCAUAAAUUUAUUUCAUUAACUUUUUACCUAUAUCAUAUAUAGAGUUGUUCGUGAACCGAGCCAAGGAAUGCCUGCUCGAAAAAAUGAGAGGGUUUGGCAAAAAAAUAUAUGCCUAAAAAAUGGGCUUGGAUAAAAAGACAAGGCCCGUUUAGAAAAUGAACCGGCAUUGAGUAGGGUUUUUUUGUCCGGGCUCAGCCUAACCCGAAUUUUCAAUUAAAAAAAACCUUGUUGUUUUUGCUGCUAUUUUUCCAUAUCUUGGUGUUGUUUUCUCACUUUUUGCCGCUAUUUUACUACCAUUUCACUAUUAUGUUACUACUAUUUUUUUUAAUGUUUGGAUAUAGUAUAAUAAUUGUUUUAUUGUUAAUUUUAUCACUAUUUUAGAGACAUUUGUUUGUUAUGUUGUACUUAUUUUAGUUUUUAUUUAAGUAUAAAAAAAUUUAAAAUUUAUUUUCAAUUUAUUGAUAAACAUGUAAUUUAAUAUUUUCAGUGUAUUUAUUGUAUUAUAUUUGUUAAAUUUAUAUAAAAUUAAAAUUAAAAAAAUAUGGACCGAGAUGGGAGUUUAACAAAAAUUUAGGCCCAUUUUUCAAGUCGGGCCGAUCUCAAACCUAACAAUCGGACUUAAAAUUUUGUUAGAGCUCGGCCCAUCCCAUGAACAACUCUAAUUAUAUAUAUAUGUCAUUCUCUAAUAAUAAUAAUAAUAAUAAUAAUAAUAAGUGGAUAACAUAAAACUAGUAGUAAAGAGUAAGAAGACAAAGAAGAAUUAAGUGGAUAACAUAAAACGUGCGAAAACAUUUAUCUUCAAUUCUGACACAUAAAGCUAGUAUUUUUGGGUAAAGUAUAGAAAUGGUGAUUAAAUUAUUGUUGAUGUUCUAUUUUAAUUUUUAAUUUUUCUAUUUUAGUUAUUAAAUUAUUUGAAAUUAAAUUUUUUGGUUAUCAAAGGUUAACAGUAGUUUGAAAUUUAACAGAAAUAUUGAUGUGAACUUUUCUUAUUGAUUUAAUAAUAAAUUUAGCCUUCUAAUAUUUAUAUAUUCUAUUAAUUUGAUACUAAAUAUAAAAAUUUAACAAAUUUAACCUUCAAUAUUUACAAAUUUUGUUAUUUUAAUUCAAAUUCUAAAAAAAAUUUAAUAAAUUUAACCCUCAACAUUAAAAAAUUUGAUAAAUUUCAAUUUUUAAAAUUUUGUAAAUUCCUAAAAUAUAAAGCAUCAUUCUCCACCUCAUAGGAUUCCAUGUAAAUGGAUUUUCUUGAAUUCUUUACCAAGUUGUCUUGAGUUUAAUUUCUUCUUAUUUAGUUUGUGGAAUAAAUGGCAUAUAGUUAGAUGUCACUGCAGCUGACAAUGAAAGGUUUGACAAAGUUGAUAAAUUCAGAGCUUUUGAUGCUGAGCUUCAAAUCAGUCUUGCCUCCACUCACCCAAGAAAUCAACUUUACAAUUUUUAUUAAGUCUUAACUAGAUUAAUAUGAGUAUUGUUAUCAAUAUAGGAGAAAGUGAAUUUUAGUGCGUUGAAACACAUUAUCUUCUUAUUGAUGAAUUGAGGAGGGGCUAUGAAUAGUUUUAAAUAUUAUAUUAAAAAAGCAGAGAUAAUUGAAACCUACAAUAAUAUUGUUCAAAAAAAUUACCUAAAAACACGAAAUCUUACUCCCUGAAUUUUCUAGAAACACAAAUAUUUCUCCCUGCCUUUGAUGGUGUAUACAUGCAUGGCCAUGUGUGAGCUCCUGCAUUUUAACUAAUCAACACAGAUAAUACCCUCAAUGAGACAUUAAAAUUAACUUUUAUUUUUGUUUUUUCAUAAAUUUUAUAAUUUUGUAUUUCAAUGAAAAAAUCUAAAUCUAAGUUGAUCCGAGUCCAAAAAAAAAUCUGAAGCUGUAAAAAGUUUGAUCUGAGGCUGCUCAUUUGCCACCUCUAAUAACCAUUUGAUAGAGGUUUAAUAUAAAGGAAUUUAGAUUUUAGGAAUUUAUAAAAUUUUUAAAAUUAAUUUUUUAUUUGUAAAUACUAAGGGAUAAAUCUAUUGAAGUUUUUAAAAUUUGAACUGAAAUGUCAAAAUUUGUAAACAUUGAAGGCUAAAUUUGUUUAUUUUUUCUAUUUAAGACCAAUCUGAUAGAAUGUGUACACAUUAGAAGACUAAAUUUAUUAUUAGACCAAUAAAAAAAUGCCCAACUUAACGCUUUCUCAAAUUUCAAACCGAUGUUAAUAUUCAAUGACCAAAAUUUUUUAUUUCAAAUAGUUUAGUGACCAGAAUAGAAAAAAAAUUAAAAGUUUGAUGACCAAAAUAGAACGCGGAUAAUAAUUUAAUGAUAUUUUUAUACUUUAUCUGUUUUUUAUGAUUAUUUAUACAUAUCAAGUGGAGCUAAUUUAGGGAAAAGAAUCAAUGGUUAAGGUUGUUGUUGAUACUUAAUGAUCAGGGUCCAAAUUUUGCUAAUGUAAUUUUCCUUAUCAUAAUUUGUAUCUUAAUUUUGUUACCAAAAAAAUAUUAGUAAUAAAUAAUAUAUGCUCGAGAAAUGUACGUAUGAUUGAUUUAAACAAUACAUGUUGGAGUAAUUUACAUAUGGAUUUAAAAUAAAUUUUAAAAAUAAAAUAAAAUUUUAAAAAUCCAAAAGUAUUUUUUCUUUUAAAAAAAUUUAAAAAUAAUUUUUAAAUUAUUUACAUGAUUGAUUUAAAGGAUUUCUUUCUAUUAAUUAUUUUUAUAUUAAAUUUAUUUUCCUUUAUGUAUAACAUUUAAAGGGUUUGUAUAUAUGCUAACUCGCGAGUCAAUUAAAAUUUGUAUUAUAUUCAUUGAAUUUUUUUAAAAUAUAUAUUUUAUUAAUUUAUUUAUUUAUUUGAGACCCAUGAUAAACUUGUAUUUAAAGUUAUUGGUGCACACUAUAAAUUCAUAUAUUGAAAAUGAUAGGUGCUAAAAGUAACAUGUUUUAGUCUCAUUCUUAAUGUGUUUUUGGAUGAUUAUUCGAUAUAAAAUGGUUAAUUUUAUGCUACUAAACUUUUCAAUUUACGUUCUACACUUAAUAGAGCAUUUAGGAGCAAAAGAAGCGAAAAACGAGCGAAAAUAAAAAAAAUAGGAGCAAGUCUCAAAAGCCACACAGGCUGAGCCAUUCCACACGGGUUGGACACAUAACCGAGUGAGCCACACGACCAUGUGCUAGACUGUGUGGAAAUCGCAAAUUACACUCCAAACGGCGUGAAAACACGUUAAUUUUAAGGUUUUUUAAGCAUUUUAAUACCUAUACAUGACAAAGAUAAGAAGAGGGGAGAGAGUCGUCAGAAAAUAUUAAAGAAAACAACUUAAAAAACACCAUUGAAGCUAACUUUGAAGCAAAUUUUCAUCAAGAUUGAAGAUCUCAUUUUGAUUUUUUUGAAGUUUAUUAUGAGUUUCUUUAUUUAUUGUAGUUAUACUGUCUUUAGGAUGUUUUUAUUUGCUAUCAUGAACGAAUUUUCUAAAUACCUAGGGAGAUGAAUCCUAUCAUGAAUUAUGUUAUUUGAUUUCUAUUUUUACGUAAUAAAGACUUAGAUCUUAUUCUCAAUUAUGUGUGCUUAAUUCUUGGUUUAAUAUUUCUAGACUAUUAAUCAAUGUUUGAUGUGCUUAAAUCAGAGGAGGAAUAAACCCUAUUUAAGAGUAGAUCUAGCGUAAAUGAGUGGAGUUGCAUGCAAUCCUAGAAAUAGGACAACAUAAAUCUACCGUAAUAGAUCCAAAUCUAAUAGGGGAAUCUAUAGAUCGAGUUAAUACGAUGAUAGAGGUUUUAAUUAGAAAUAAAUUUCAGUUAAUUAACCUAGAGUCAGUUACUCUUAGUCUUGAAGAGAUAUAUUAGCAUAAUUUAGGGAUUUUUACAGAUCAAUAUUCUAAGUGACGAAGUUGUGUAAUAUAGAUUGAUAAUGACAUAUGAAGUCUAGGUAGAUUCUUUCCUAGGUAUUGUCUCGCUCUUGGUUAUUAUUUGAUUAUUUUCUUGAUUUGUGCUUUGUUGUGUUAUUUAGUUAACUAAUUUAGUUAAUUUUAGUUCCAACCAAUCACUCCAAUUUAUCAGUUAAAUAAUAGAAAAGACGGUAAUUACUGGUACUUUUAGUCUUUGUGAAAACGAUAUCUUUGCUCACUAUAACUAUACUAUUAAUUGAUGUGCACUUGUCUGAGUUAGAUUUUUAGUUGGUUUACGACUGCAAUCAAAAAACUCAUUAAGUUAGCACAAACUAAGUUAAUUAUUCGUUGGUUGCUUUAUUUUUUUUCCUGAAGUUUCGAUUUCAUCUUUCAUUAUGUACAACAAUUUUGGUAUAAAAAUAUCAAAUUCUCGACACUUAAUAUAUACCUUUGAAAUAUAAACACAUGCAUCAAUUUUUUUAGGUUCCUCACAACUUACUUGUCCAAAAUUCUUGUAUCUUUCAGUUCUCCUGAUUGAAUCAAAAUUUGACUUUGUAAUUAUUUUUUAAGGACCUCAAACUAUCAAUUUAUAGUAUAAAUUUUCAAUAGCUUUCAUUCUUUACAAAUUGGUCCCUAAUUAAUCAACAAUGGUAUUAAAGCUUAAGCUUAGGGUCCCGUUGUUUCACUGAAAAUGGCUUUCGAAAAAUAAUUUCUAGAAAAUGACUUACUUUCCUAGAAAAGUUAAUAUUUUCUGAUGUUUGGAUGAAUCAGUGUAAAAUAUUUUAUAUUGUUUGACAAAUUUCUUAAAAAUAUUUCAUAAAAGCUGUUUUCAAUGAAACAAACAUGCAUUUGAGAUUUUCUUAUCUUUUCAUUGUUUAAUUAAGUUUAUCUUAUAUCUAUAAAUUUAUAUUUUACAUUUUUUUGCAUAUAAUAAAAAUAUAUAUUUUUUAAUUCAGGUUCACUACCAUGUCACUUUUUAGUUACAUGACUACCAAGUGAGUAUUUUUUUUAUUUAAAAAUGUGACAUCAACAAAAUUGACAAAAAAAAAAUUUAGCAAUGUCAACAAUUGGACUUGAUUUUCAAAUCUGAAAAGUAGAGGGACUAAAUUCUUGAAAAUAAAAGUAUAGAGACUAAAUUGAAAAUUUGUGAAGAAUACAUAGACUUAUCACAUUUUUUAACUUUUAUACUACAAAAUAUUUAUCAUUAAUAUAUUUAUAAUUAUAAUAAAUAUUUAUUAUUAAAAUAUUAAUAUUAAAUAUUUUCAAUAAGAAGAAUAUUAUUUAAAAUUAUUUUUUUUAAUUUUUUAUUAAAAUAAAAUUGAAAUAUUAAAUAAUUUAUUAAAAUAAUUAAUUUUAUUAAUAAUUAAUUUUAUGACUAAAUAUAAAUAAUUAAAUAUGUGUGUUUAAUAAUAUUGAAAUAUAUAAUAUUUUAUAUUAAUAUUUUAAAUAUUUUUAAAAAUAAAAAUAAAAUUUAUUUUCAAUAUAAUAAUAUUAAUAUUGAUUUAAAUGAAUUUUUAUAUAAAAAUAAAAUUACCUAUAGAUGAGCUCUUUUCCAGAAAAUGACUUACACUUUUCAAAAGGAUAAGUCAUUUUAUAGGAAAAAGAGUUCAAUUUUACAUUGACCUGUAAGUCAUUUUCCGAUGACCAAAAUGUUUUCUGUAAAAUAAACAUAAGAAAAUGAAGAAAAUAUUUUCCGUAAAACCUUUUACAUGUAAACAAACGGACCCUUAAUUCAAGCUUGUUCUAACAUAACCCACUUCACUAUUAGCAUGACUCUUCCUUAUACUAUGUUUAACCAUUAACCCUUCUCAUGAUUUCUAACAAAAAUUCUCUAAGUUCUCUUUAAUGGAAACUUCUAUUAGCUUCAACAAUAAGAAAUUCUAACCAUUGGGUUGGUUGUAUCAAGUUUCAUAGUUUAAAAAACUAUAAAAAAAUUAUUUAGAAAACAAUUUGUUUACCUUUGAUGGCCUUGAUGGAGAACAACUUGGUUUCUUCUUCUACUUAGUUUAAAGAAUGCAUGAAGAAGAAGAAGAUUUCCCCUCUCCCUCUAUCUUAAAUAUAUAUAUAAAUAACCUAUUAAUCAAGGUAAUUAACUCACUAAUUAAUCUUAAUUAGUUAUGAUCUAAUGGCCAUAAACUUACCAUAAGAAAAUUAGUGGAAAUGUGUGGCAUUGAUAAUGGUUUGCCAAUAAUCAAACUUCGGGCAUGGUAAUAUUGCAAUCAGGUCCUUGGUUUAAUUACACUUUAAGUACUUGCUAAAUUCUCUAAUCAAUUCCCACUAGUUGGAUCACUUGAACAAUUGGGUCCAUGUAUUAUAGUUACAACUUAUCUAAUUUAAUCAAUUAAUGAUUUGACUUUAUAAUUUCAUGUGCAACACACAAACUCCUCCGGUAAAUUCUCAAGCUAGCUUUAUUUAAAAAUUUGGCCUCAAAACCAGCUUUCCAAAUGUUCAUGAAAAUUGAGUUGUUACAUUAUGGUAUUUGUUUUGUUCAGCUUAUUUGUCAAGCUCUAUUCCUUUGAACUUAUGUUCGUUGACUUUGGUGUUGCUUAAAUGAAAAUGUGGUGAACAAUAUUAUGGAUAGGAGGAGUGUAUGAUUGAGUAUGUGUAACACCCCUAACCCACAUCCUUCGCCAAAUUAAAGUGACAGAGUGUUAUUAUUCAAAACAGAACAUUCCAUGACAACACAUAAACAAUUAUGCAAAUUAUCACAAUCAUUAAUUAACCAUAUUAAAAUAUAACAUAAGUAUCCAUACGACCUUUAAAUCGAGCUUAUAUGGCCUUAAAAAUAGCUUGGGAUCAAUCUAGGAUCAAUUUGGAACAUAACAUAAAUUUUAAGAAAAAUCUAAAAAUUUUGGGAAACAUGGGUCACACAACCGUAUGUCCAGGCCGUGUGACAUAGCCCAGACCUUGUGGGAAUUCAAAAUCAGGACACUCAAUCAUGUCCUAGCCCGUAUGUCUACCUGUGUGAAUAUUUGAAAUAGGGUCCCACAGUCGUGUCGCGGCCAUGUGCUAAACCGUGUAUAUAUUCAAAUUAUGAACACAUGGCCGUGUCGCAAGCCAUGUGCUAGACCGUGCUCAAAACUAUUUUGAGACACACAGCUGUGCCUUAGGCUGUGUGAAAUUUUCACUUUAGACAACGACACACAGCCGUGUGCCAGACCAUGUACACCAAAAUGUACCUUAAAAAUCAAAUUUACCAAAACAUGUUUACUUAGGCAUCAAGCAACCUAAUUACCAUCAAUCAAACUCAUUCAAAACACAAUUAAACAGGUUCAAAACAUCCAUCCUAAGUGCCUAGCCAUUGUGCCCUCAUUGACAUCAUAAUUCAAUAAUCAAAUCAAUCACAUUUAAACCAAGAUUUAAACAUUCAAAUUAUAAAAUCAUCAUUAACCAUUCAUACCAAAACACUGAUCAUUUCAAGUCAUAAACACCUAGCAAUAUUCACAUACUUUAUAAAGCUUAACUACCAAUACCAAAUAAGAUCCAUACACACAUACAUACCAAACAAAACACAUAUUCACAAGUAUCAUUCAAGAUUUACAACUUUACAUGUAAUUAACAUAAUUUCAAGUCAAUUAUUACAUGUCAUACAACCCAAAACAAACACUAAACAAACUACCAAUAGUUUCUCGAAUAGUGUGAUUCUUGAAAUCAAAUUGAUCACCCGAAGCGUCAAAAAUAAAUCUACAAGAAAGCAUUGGAAGAGACACAAGAGUAAGCUUACUUAAGCUUAGUAAUUUCCAUGGAUUUAAACAAUCAACUUACCGGAUAAACUUAUCUAAUAUAGAGUAUAGAAAAGUCAUAAAUCAUAAUCAUGUCAUCCAUAAUCAGAUCACGAGUGAGUCUUAAACUUAAAUAUGAAUGAAUUAAUUCAAUCAAUUACAUUAUAUCACUAAAUUAUACCCGAUGAACGUUGCAAUGGAUUUGGAUACACAGUUAACCAACCAAACACUCCAAAUCACUCAAAUGAGCUAGCCAUCUGAAAGUACACAUGGGCACCAAGUGCCAAGCCCAUAGGCUAACAUCCCUCCGAAACACACCUUGUCACCAAGUGCCAAGCCCGUAAGCUUUACAUCUGCCCCAGAAACACACCUGAAGCACUGCAAUAUAACGUAAUAGUUCGCAACAAAUGUUGAACUUCAAUAUAUUCAAUAAACAUGAAUAAGAUCAGAAUCAUCAUCUCCACAUCCACCAAUCUCGUAAAGCGCACGAUAUAACUUAUUGACAUGCCAAUUGUAUCCUAUCAUACAUUCAUCGGCUCACAUAUUUGUCAUUUAACAACAUUUAAUACAAUUUCUUUCCCAAAUCAUUUCACUUACCACAAUUCAAUACUUCCAUGUCAUUUAAUAAUUUCAAUCCACAAGUAAUUAAAUAUUUAAAUUAUACUAAAAUUAAACUGUACAAACUCACUAGGGCCAAAUUGCAGAAACAACAAAAGUUCAGGGACUAAUCAACAACCUUCCCUUUUUCCACAAUUAUCAACUUGAUCUUGAUCUAUAAUAUAAUUUAUUUCAAUUAUUAGCCUCAAUUUUCAUAUUCUAAUCAUUUCAAAACAUAUGAUCUCUUAUUUAUAAAUUUACACAUUUAUCCCAAAUUUUUACAUAUUAUACAAUUUAAUCCCUAUGACCAAAUCAAGCUUAGUUCUACAAUUAAAUUCUCAAUCCAUAGAACUAAAUUUUAACCACAUCCAAAACAAUCCAUAUAUGCUAAAAUUUUCAAGAGUAACAUGUCUAUUUCAGUUAAAUCACUAAACAUCAAAUUUUGUAAAAAUCACUUACAAACUCAAUACAUAUGGUCACCAAGCUUCAACCCAAACUAUUUACUACUACAAAUCUUCGAAAAUUUCAAUACAUAAUUUCUAUACUUUGAUAACUUCACAAAUAAACUCCAAAACUAGCUAAAUUCCAUUAUCAAUAGCUCAAAACUUAAAAUUUGAUGAUGAAUAAACCAAGAAAAUACUUACAUGCAUUAAAAACUAACAAAAACCAAGAUCCAAGCCUUAGAACAAUGGUGUUUCGGCCAAACCUAAGAAAAAUAAAGAAGAUGACCACUACCCCACUUUUGUUUUACUUUCCUUUUAUUAUUAUAAUAAUCUUUAUUUAUGAAAUUAUAACAUUAUAAAACACCAAUUUAAUUUUUUUUCUCUCUUUACCGCCCAUAUUAACUAACUAUGGGCUAAUGGCAACAUAACCUCCCUUAGUUUACUAAUUUAAGCUAUUAUAUUAAAAUAAAUCUAUAAUAAGCAACUUUUCCACCUAUUACAUAUUAAUCUUUUUUCUUUAAUCAAUUCACUAUACGUUAAAUUUUCUAAACCAAAACUUAAUACGACACUGAUGACUUUGUAAAUAUUAAAUAAUUAAUAAUUCUAGACUGACACGUCGAAAGUGUAGUCCUAAAACUAUUAUUUUCGACACCACUGGAAAUCGAACUGUUAUAGUAUGAUUCUACCUCUUAGGGGGAGACGUAUUCUAGUUUCCUUUGACUUGUUUAGAUGAUGUGUUAAUCAUUUGCUACUGGUUUUGUCAAAAUGCCAAAUGGUGAGAUUGUUUCAAACUUUGUUCAUGUUCGAACAUUAGAUUAAACAAUGCUUAAUUUGAUGCAUUCAAAGAAUUUAUGUUGGCAUGUUUGACUUUAUAAUGAAAUGGCUUAUGAUUUAAUCUCGUUGAGUAGCAAAUGGGGAAGUGAUUUUGUGUUAUAACAUGUGAUGAUCAUUAUCUUUCAAUCAACUACCUUGAAGAAGAAUGGGAGGAGUUUGAACUUUUGUGGACUUUCGUAAUAUUUGAAGCUGCUAAGAUACUUGUUUAUAAAGACUUUUAUGAUAUAACUAAUCAAAAUAAUUCAUGUCAGAAUUUUUGGAGUUUUAAACUUAUGAAGACUCUAGUAUUGGCCUAUAAAUAGGCAUAAUUACCGCACAUUGAAAAUAGGCUUUUGGAGGGUUUAAGUUGGAUGCUUUGGUGAAUUUUUCCUGUGUUUUAUACAACACUCUUUUUUAAGUUUUUAUUGGGGGAUAUUUGCUUGAUUGUAAGUGAGAUAUUUUGGAGAGAGUGAUUUGUAAUAAUUUAGGUUCAAUAUUGAAGUUGCAAAUAACUACAAGGUAAUGGUAAUUUGGACUCUAGUCAAUAGUUAAUCAAGACGAAUUGUAAAUAAAAAUUAUUUUUUAAGUGAAACUUUACAGAAUAAAACUAGUGAACUCAAACUACGCUAACAAAUAUUAUAUACUAUCUUUCCUUACUUUACUCGUUGCUUUACCUUAUUUUAAAAUUGCUUUGUCAUAAAUGUAUUAUGUUUGACCCUUUCCGAUCGAAAUAAAAAAAUGAGAUUGAAAUUGUGAUAAAGCUAAAAAAAAGUUACAACAAAUAUGAUUAAUAUUAUUUUUAUAUAUACUUACUAAAAUUUAAAAAGGAAUUACAUUUAUCGAAUAUUAUUUUAUUUAAUAAAUAUAAUUAAUAUAUUUUAUAUAAAAUUUAAACUUUUUAUUAUUUGUUAGCUAAAUUUUAUUAUUUUUAUUUUCUUUAUGAAUAAAAUUAAUUUUCCUAAAAUUUGAGAUAAAAAAAUGUUAUAUAGAAAAUUAAAUUAGUAAAAAGUGCAGUUCAUACUUUAUAAUUAUUAUAAAUGAAAAAAUAUUAUAAAAGAUAAAUAUUAAACAUAAAAAAAUCAAUUCUAAAAUAAACUUAACUAUUAUAAUAAAAUAUUUUUAUAUAAAAAAGAAAUUAUAGAAAAGACUUACUGAUUAUAUUUCCAAUUUUCGACAUUCAUAAAAAAAAAGUGGUCCUAAUAAUUUAUUUAUACAAAAAAAAAAGUGGUCCUAUUAAUUAACCUCACAUUUGAAAUGUGUUAUAUGUAAUAAUAUUAAUAUCUUUAUCAAUUUUGGAGGUUCAUCCUUUCCCAUCUCUAUAAAUUCGCAUGGAGAAAUAAAGCAAUACAUCAACACAAUCUGUAUAACCAUGAAAACCACAACAGCUUCAGUGUUUCUUCUUUUCAUCAUCUUCUCAGUCACACCAUCAUCCUUUUUGUUUGGUGUAGCCAACGCUACAAACGAACCUGUACUCGACUUUGAUGGCAACGAGGUUCAAACAGGCACCCCAUAUUACGUUGUGUCGUACAUAUGGGGUGCUGGUGGUGGGGGGCUUGACCUAGGCAGGCCUAGUGGAAACCCAUGCCCGGAAGUCGUUGCUCAAAGAGGAUCCGGUGACAAUGGUAUUCCGGUGAUAUUUUCUAAUUCGGACUCCAACGAUGGCGUUGUUCGCCUAUCCUCUGACAUAAACAUAGAGUUCAUUUCCCUCAGACCCAAACUUUGCCGAACAACAACAGUGUGGAAGGUCGAUGAUUACGACCAUUCAGCCGGAAAAUGGUGGGUGAUAACCGAUGGGGUUAAAGGGAACCCAGGUGCCAACACUUUGACCAGUUGGUUUAGAAUAGAGAAGGUGGGUACUGAUUUUCAAUAUUACACAUUUAAGUACUGCCCCGCAGUAUGUGGAACAUGCCCAGCCUUAUGCAACCAAAUUGUGAGAGACUUUGAUGGAGAAAUGGUACGUUUGGCUCUCACCACUGGCCAUGGAUGGCCAUUUAUCUUUAAGAAAGUUGGAAAAUCAGCCAUGGAGAUUGAACAAGUUGUUCAUAAUUAGAUUGAAAGCAAUCAUUAUGCAUGAACUAGUAGUUACUACAUAAUAUUAGCUUCAAGUAAAUAAUGCUGAGGGAACUUAUUGUUAAGAUUGCCUUGUUUGAAGCGGCAGCAUGUAUAUAUAUAUGCUUGCUUACAAGGUUUGUCUCUCAGAGUCCUCCUCUUUGUACUCUUUUCAGCUUAAUGAAUAAACUGUUUACUUAUUUACUUCUUUUGUUGCCAUUGAUUCUAGUAGCAUUCGACUCAUUAACUUGGAUACAUUACCUUGUAAUUAACCAAAAAGUUAUGUGUAUAUAUAUAAAGAGUGUGUGAGAGAAAAAAUAGAAUACCAAGUACCAAGUGAAAAAUGUUAAUACUAGGAUUAUUCAAAGCGAUUUCAAUGAACAGAAAUGGAAUAGUCGUCGGGUGGUUAGGGCAUUUUAUCUUUAGAGAUAAAGAAGGUUGGUUCAUGUUCGGAGUUUGUGGCUACUCCUUCAAUAAUAUCGUUUUUAAAGUUUAAACUUGUAUCACAUUUUAAACACGUAAUGUAUCUUACCAUUACAUCCAACAAUAUUAACCAUUUACUCUAUUGUAUUGUAUUGUAUUCUAUUAUUAAUUAAUGAUUAUGAUAUGUAUUAAGUUUAAGAUGAAUUUUCUCAGUAAUAUAUAUCAAUGGAAUCAAAUAUUUGUAUUUAAAGUUUUAACUCCACAUUAACUUUUUCUUUAUUUUGUCCGUUUGCUGGCGAUGAUUAGGAGAUUAAUGGUUGGUAUUUGUGGUUAGUAGGUUAUAACUCAAUAGUGAACUCGAGGGUUGAUAGUGGCCCGACUCCACUUAAAUAAAAAAUUUUACAUUUAAAUCUCUUUAUAAUUUAUAAAAUUUUAAAUUAAUAAUAAAAAAAUUAUAUUUUAACUCUCUAAAAUUAAUAAAAAUGAUAAAAAUGUAGAAGUAAAUUUAUACAAUUAAUGAUAAUAAUGAUAAGAAGUUGUUUCCUGUCACAUGGAAAUUUAUGGCAUCGUCCAUUUGGUUUUAUAUUUGUCCAUUUGCUUGGUUAAGAGUUGAAAGACAAACUAUAAUUAAGUAUACAAAACCAAACGAAUUUCAAGGGUUUUCUCUUCAAUUAUUGUCGAAUUUAGCUAAUUAUUAGUAAUUUUUAUUAUUUAAUUAUAAAAAUUAUAAAAUAAUGACUUAAUUAUAAGAAUUAUAAAAUAGUGACUUAAUUAUAAAAAUAUAUAUAAAUAGCCAUCUAAUUAUUUAAUUUUUUUUCUUUUUUAUCAUCACCGGAUUAAUGGUGGUAAUUUUUAUAAUUGACAUAAUAGUAACUUUAACCAUUAAUAAUUAUACAUUAUGUCAAUUUAGUCUUGAUUCUAAAAAAUUUAACCUUUGACAUUUACACAUAUAUAAUUUGACAUUUUUAUAAUUUUAUUUUUUACUAAAAAUAAAUCAUGAAAAUAAUAAAAUAUGCAUAAAAAUAAAAAUACAGCUACCGAGUAUAUGUCUUAAUGUAGAUUUAUAACAAUUAUCUUUUCAUAAAGAUAUUUUAUUAUAAAAUAUAUAAUAAGCACUUCCCUGUAACAAAUAAAAUUGUAGUAAACAAAUGAAAUUAUUAUAAAGAAGAAUUUUCUAUUUUCAUAAUAAUAAUAAUAAUAAUAAUAAUAAAAGAAAAGAAAAAAGUGGUUCUAUUAAUUCACCUCACAUUUGAAAUGUGUUAUAUGUAAUAAUAUUAAUGUCUUUAUCAAUUUUGGUGGUUCAUCCUUUCCCAUCUCUAUAAACACUACACCAGAAUAGGUUUUUAGCGGCGUUUUUUAGGCCUUUAGCGACGCUUAUUAACGCCACUAAAUCUAUUUCCGGCACUUACAAAAAAAAGCCGCUAAAGAUCAUGUUCUUUAGCGGCGCUUAGGAAAAAACGCCGCAAAAAAUCAUGUUCUUUAGCGGCGCUUAGAAAAAAACGCCGCUAAAGAUCAUGUUCUUUAACGGCGCUUAGAAAAAAACGCCGCUAAAGAUCAUGUUCUUUAGCGGCGCUUUGGAAGAAAACACCUCUAAAAGUAAUGUUCUAUAGCGGCGCUUGUUCAAAAACGCCGCUAAAAGUAGUGUUCUUUAGCGUCGCUUGUUUCACAAACGCCACUGUUUUGAUAUGACUUUUAGCGGCGCUUUUUUAAAAAAUGUCACUAAUUUUGGGAUUUUUUUAAAAUAAAAUUUUCUGUUUUUUUCAGCCCUCCUGCAACAACAAAUCAAAAGCAACCAGAUCUAAACUAACCAAAAAUAAUAAAUUUAUAUAAUAUUUCAAAUUAAAUGAAUAAAAUAAUAUUAAUUGAUAUAAAUAAAAGUGAAUUUCAGACUUUUCUUUACAAAAACGUUAAAAGUAUUUAUGCAACAUACACUAUGACGGCGGAAGUUGCGACUGCUGAAACAUCUUCAUCAUAAUCUAAAGCUGCUGUUGAAGUUCGUCGUACUUUUUGCUCUACUUUGCUUCUCUCGAUGCCGCAUCUUUUUGAAGCCGUAGCUGUAGUUCUUCACAUUUCUUUUGAACCUCUGCUUCUAUCGCUGCUUAUCUCGCUACGGCAUCUGCUUCCCUCACUGCUGCCUCUGAUUUAAGUUGUUGCUGAAGUUCUUCAUAUUUCCUUUGAACCUCAAAUGUGGUCGCUUGCAUCUGAGUCAUCUAGUCUUUUAACCUCUGAACUUCAGCUUGAGACUGACUCCCCGAAGCCAUGUAUUGGUGCGAGCUGGAUCCAAAAUAUUGGGUUGGGCUGAUAAAAGAUCCUUGAAAUCGAACCCGACCAUACUUUUCAGGACCCAAAACUUUAGUAAUAAUCCGGUUAUCAAUGUCUUCAAGAUGAAUAGAACUAUCACUAGAAGCAAUCGUUUCGUACUCUGUCUUUUUUUCCUUCAGUUUUUCCUAAUAAAUAAAUCACAUAGUUAGGAACGCAAUAUAUAGUAAAAAAAACAAAUGCAAUAUAACAAUAGUCGCAUUACAAGCAAUGAAUUAAACCAUUAGAAAAUAAACACUAUAAAUAACUAAAACAAGUGAAAUCGUAUUAAGUAAACGUACCAUAAUUUCACCAGCUUCAGGAGUCAUAGCAGAUCCAUCUUUCUUCUUAUGUGUAAUUUCAAAAAGUUGAAGGCGUCCAACUUUUUGAUCGGACGACCGUUCCUACAACACUCUUUUUUAAGUUUUUAUUGGGGGAUAUUUGCUUGAUGUAAGUGAGAUAUUUUGGAGAGAGUGAUUUGUAAUAAUUUAGGUUCAAUAUUGAAGUUGCAAAUAACUAUAAGGUAAUGGUAAUUUAGACUUUAGUCAAUAGUUAAUCAAGACGAAUUGUAAAUAAAAAUUAUUUUUUAAGCGAAACUCUACAGAAUAAAACUAGUGAACUCAAACUACUGAACUCAAACUACGCUAACAAAUAUUACAUAUUAUCUUUCCUUACUUUACUUGUUGCUUUACCUUAUUUUAAAAUUGUUUUGUCAUAAAUGUAUUAUGUUUGAACCUUUCCGAUCGAAAUAAAAAAAAUGAGAUUGAAAUUGUGAUAAAGCUAAAAAAAGGUUACAACAAAUAUGAUUAAUAUUAUUUUUAUAUAUACUUAAUAAAAGUUAAAAAGGGAAUUACAUUUAUUGAAUAUUAUUUUAUUUAAUAAAAUAUAAUUACUAUAUUUUAUAUAAAAUUUAAAUAUUUUAUUGUUUGUUAGUUAAAUUUUAUUUUUUUUUAUUUUCUUUAUGAAUAAAAUUAAUUUUCCUAAAAUUUGAGAUAAAAAAUGUUAUAUAGAAAAUUAAAUUAGUAAAAAGUUAAAAAAAUCAAUUCUAAAAUAAACUUAACUAUUAUAAUAAAAUAUUUUUAUAUAAAAAAAAAGAAAUUAUAGAAAAGACUUAUUGAAUAUAUUUCCUAUUUUCGACAUUCAUAAAAAAAAAAAAGUGGUCCUAAUAAUUUUUUUAUACAAAACAAAAAAAAGUGGUCCUAUUAAUUUACCUCACAUUUGAAAUGUGUUAUAUGUAAUAAUAUUAAUAUCUUUAUCAAUUUUGGAGGUUCAUCCUUUCCCAUCUCUAUAAAUUUGCAUGCAGAACUAAAGCAACACAUAUCAACACAAUCUGUAUAACCAUGAAAACCACAACAGCUUCGGUGUUUCUUCUUUUCAUCAUCUUCUCAAUCACACCAUUGUCCUUUUCGUUUGGUGUGGCCAACACUUCAAACGCUCCUGUGCUCGACAGUGAUGGCAACGAGCUCCGCACAGGCACCCCAUACUUCGUUGUGUCGUCGAUAUGGGGUGCUGGUGGUGGGGGGCUUGCCCUAGGCAUGCCUAGAGGAAAGCCAUGCCCGGAAGUCGUUGCUCAAAGAGGAUCUGGUGACGAUGGUAUUCCGGUGAUAUUUUCUAAUUCGGACUCCAACGAUGGCGUUGUUCGCCUAUCCUCUGACAUAAACAUAGAGUUCAUUCCCCUCAGACCCAGAUUUUGCCAAACAACAACGGUGUGGAAGGUCGAUGAUUACGACCACUCAGCCGGAAAAUGGUGGGUGAUAACCGAUGGGGUUAAAGGGAACCCAGGUGCCAACACUUUGACCAGUUGGUUUAGAAUAGAGAAGGCGAGUCAUCUUGAUUACACAUUUAAGUACUGCCCCGCAGUAUGUGGAACAUGCCCGGCUUUAUGCAACAAAAUUGCGAGAGACUUAGAUGGAGAAAUGAUGCGUUUGGCUCUCUCCACUGACCAUGGAUGGCCAUUUUUCUUUAAGAAACUUCAAACAUCAGCCAUGGAGAUUGAACAAGUUGUUCAUAAUUAGAUUGAAAGCAAUCAUUAUGCAUGAACUAGUAGUUACUAUACAAUAUUAGCUUCAAGUAAAUAAUGCUGAGAGAACUGAUUGUUAAGAUUGCCUUGUUUGAAGCAGAAGCAUGCAUAUAUAUAUGCUUGCCUACAAGGUUUGUCUCUCAGAAUCCUCUUUGUACUCUUUUCAGCUUAAUAUAUAAACUGUCUACUUAUUUACUUCUUUUAUUAAUGUCAUUGAUUCUAGUAGUAUUAGACUCAUUAACUUGGAUACAUUGUCUUGUAAUUAACCCAAAAAUUAUAUAUAUAUCAAAAAAAAAAAUGAGAGUGAGAGAGGAAAAUAGACUACCAAGUAACAAGUGAAAAAUGGUAAUACUAGGGUUAUUUAGAGUGGUUUCAAUGCACAACCGGAAUGAAUUGUUACCUUAUCUUUAGAGUCAAAGAAGGGUUCGUGACUAGUCUUUCAACAAUACUAUUUUCAAGGUUCAAACCUGCAUUAUCCUUUAAAUACGUAAUGUAUUUUAUCAUUACGCUCAAUAUUAUUAGUGAUUUACUUUAUUCUAUUCUUAAUUAAUAAUUAUGAUAUAUAUAAAGUUUAAGAUGGAUUUUCUUAUUUAUGUAUAUCAAUUAAAUCAAAUAUUUGUAUUUAAAGUUUUAACCCAACAUUAACUUUUUUUUUAAAAAUUUCUUCGUUUGUUGGUGGUGAUUAGGAGAUUGAUGGCCGGUCUUUGUGAUUGGUAGCUUUUAACACAAUGGCGAAGCUAAGGAGGCUUUAAAUGUUUAAAUGAAUAUUUUUUUCAAUUGAAAUUUCUUUAUAAUUUAUAAAAUUUUAAAUUAAUAAUGAUAAAAUUACAUUUUAAUUUUUUAAAAAUGAUAAAAACGUGGAAGCACAUUUGUACGAUUAAUAAUAAUGAUAAUAUUUUUCCUACCACAUGGAAGUUUAUGGAAACACCAUUGGGUUUUGUAUUUAUGUUUUAUUCGACACUCUUAUAAGUUUUACUGGGGAGAUUUGUUUGAUUGUAAGUGAGGUAUUUUGCGGAGAGUGAUUUAUAAUAAUUUAAAAUUAAUAUUGGGGUUACAAAUAACUAUGGGAGUAAAGUAGUUUAGACUUUAGCUAAUAAUUGAUCAAGAUGGAUUGUAGAAUAAAAUCAUUUUCGAAGCAAAAUUUUAUAAAAUUAGUAAAUCUGAAUUAUUCUAUAAUAUUGAUAUUAUCUUUCUUCACUUUAGCCCUUGCUUCACCUUAUCUCAAAAUUAUUCUAUAAUAAUCUAUUUUGUCUCAACCUUUUCAACAGAAUUUAAAAUGAAACUAUUUCUAUGAAGUGCAAACCAAAAACUUUUUCACAUACCAAUAAAUGGCAAGCAACCAUACCGUGGGCCCAAUGUCCCAACAAUCAUCUAAACAUUUUUUUUUUCUUUUUUAAAUAAUAUGUAAUAAUUUAUAUACCAUAAAUGAAUAUUAAUUAAAAUAAUAUAAACAAAAUACGACUCUUUAAUAUAAUAUGGAUCCAAAAUGUUUCAUAUUUGAAAUGCAGUUUUUGAUAAUUUCACAUUUCAUAUUUUAUCUUAGAACAAAAAGAAAAUUUGAACUUAAUAUUUGGACUAUUGAUCAAUGGUGUUUAUUAUAUUUCAAGACUAUCAGAUUAAUCUGUCGAUACUACUUAUAUGGUAUGGUUUAAAUGGGUGUGUGUGGAUAUAGAAAUUUGAAAUUCUAUUGUAUCAAAGAAAUUUUUUUUAAAAAUAAAAUAAAAAGGAAUUUGAAAUUUAAAAUUUGAGAUCAAAAUAAAAAAAAUGAGACUUGUUAUAAACCAUAAGGCUCAAAAAAGGUUACAACAAAUAUGGUUAAUAUUAUUUUUAUAUAUACUUAAUAAAAGUUUAAAAUAUCAAAUUUGUAAUAUUAUUUUUAUUUAAUAAAAUAUAAUUAAUAUAUUUUAUAUAAAAUUUAAAUAUUUUAUUGAAAUAUUAUGUUAGGUAAAUUUUAUUAAUUUUAUUUUCUUUAUAAAUAAAAUUAAUUUUAUUAAAAUUUGAGAUAAGAUAAUUAAAUUAAUAAAAGGUAUACUUCAUAUUUUAUAGUUAUUAUAAAUAAAAAAUUAUUAUAAAAAUUAAAAAAAAAGAAUUCUACAACAUAAUGAAAUAUUUUUAUUAAAAAAAACAGAAAUGAUUGAUGGAAUAUAUUUCCAAUUUUCGACGUUCAUUAAAAAAAAAAGAGUGGUCCUAAUAAUUGAUUUAUUGGGGAAAAAAAAGUGGUCCUACUAAUUUACCUCACAUUUGAAAUGUGUUAUAUGUAAUAAUAUUAAUAUCUUUAUCAAUUUUGGAGGUUCAUCCUUUCCCAUCUCUAUAAAUUCGCAUCGAGAAAUAAAGCAAUACAUCAACGCAAUCUGUAUAACCAUGAAAACCACAACAGCUUCAGUGUUUCUUCUUUUCAUCAUCUUCUCAGUCACACCAUCAUCUUUUUUGUUUGGUGUAGCCAACGCUACAAACGAACCUGUACUCGACAUUGAUGGCAACGAGGUUCAAACAGGCACCCCAUAUUACGUUGUGUCGUCCAUAUGGGGUGCUGGUGGUGGGGGGCUUGCCCUAGGCAGGCCUAGCGGAAACCCAUGCCCGGAAGUCGUUGCUCAAAGACGAUCCGGUGACGAUGGUAUUCCGGUGAUAUUUUCUAAUUCGGACUCCAACGAUGGCGUUGUUCGCCUAUCCUCUGACAUAAACAUAGAGUUCAUUCCCCUCAGACCCAAACUUUGCCGAACAACAACGGUGUGGAAGGUCGAUGAUUACGACCAUUCAGCCGGAAAAUGGUGGGUGAUAACGGAUGGGGUUAAAGGGAACCCGGGUGCCAACACUUUGACCAGUUGGUUUAGGAUAGAGAAGGCGGGUGAUCUUGAUUACACAUUUAAGUACUGCCCUGCAGUAUGUGGAACAUGCCCAGCUUUAUGCAACAAAAUUACGAGAGACUCAGAUGGAGAAAUGGUACGUUUGGCUCUCUCCACUGGCAAUGGAUGGCCAUUUUACUUUAAGAAAGUUGGAAAAUCAGCCAUGGAGAUUCAACAAGUUGCUCGUAAUUAGAUUGAAAGCAAUCAUUAUGCAUGAACUAGUAGUUACUACAUAAUAUUAGCUUCAAGUAAAUAAUGCUGAGAGAACUUAUUGUUAAGAUUGCCUUGUUUGAAGCGGCAGCAUGUAUAUAUAUAU